Molecule: transfer RNA, 61 nt
Filed under: Ictidomys tridecemlineatus (thirteen-lined ground squirrel)
Lineage: Eukaryota; Metazoa; Chordata; Mammalia; Rodentia; Sciuridae
Description: Spermophilus tridecemlineatus (thirteen-lined ground squirrel) tRNA
Rfam family: tRNA
About the family: Transfer RNA (tRNA) molecules are approximately 80 nucleotides in length.
Source: Rfam by way of RNAcentral
UGUGGCUCAGUGGUAGAGCACAUACCUAGCAUGUGUGAGGCACUGGGUUUGAUCCUCAGCA